Molecule: ribosomal RNA, 418 nt
Filed under: uncultured prokaryote
Description: bacterial SSU rRNA
Rfam family: Archaeal small subunit ribosomal RNA
Source: RNAcentral
GUGUCAGCAGCCGCGGUAAUACCAGCACCCCGAGUGGUCGGGAUGAUUAUUGGGCCUAAAGCAUCCGUAGCCGGUGUAACAAGUCCUCCGUUAAAUCCACCUGCUUAACAGGUGGGCUGCGGAGGAUACUGUUACACUAGGAGGCGGGAGAGGCGAGGGGUAUUCCACGGGUAGGGGUAAAAUCCUCUGAUCCGUGGAGGACCACCAGUGGCGAAGGCGCCUCGCCAGAACGCGCUCGACGGUGAGGGAUGAAAGCUGGGGGAGCAAACCGGAUUAGAUACCCGGGUAGUCCCAGCCGUAAACGAUGUAGGCUCGGUGAUGGACUGGCUCCGAGCCAGUCCAGUGCCGCAGGGAAGCCGUUAAGCCUACCGCCUGGGGAGUACGGCCGCAAGGCUGAAACUCAAAUGAAUUGACGGGG